Long non-coding RNA from Micropterus salmoides (largemouth bass), 591 nucleotides. RefSeq lists it as uncharacterized. NCBI's taxonomy places the organism in Eukaryota, Metazoa, Chordata, Actinopteri, Centrarchiformes, Centrarchidae. The transcript has 4 exons. The record is from RefSeq and is a predicted model, not a curated record.
UAGAGACCAACAUGUCUCGCUUCUCCACUGUCCUCAUGAUCUCUGACAGGACCUCCUGCUCCUCCUGCAGCUCAGAGGCACUCUUCUUUGUAUCUGGAGUGAUGUGGAAGAGAGCAGAGGAAGGUGGGAAGAGAUCUUGCUGCAGUCGGCUCUGUGUGUCCUGCAGUUCAAGUUCCUGAGCACUAAGAGAGAGGAGAAAUGGGUGACUUCAGCUGAACGAGUUUAAACCAGGACUGAUAGAGCUGGCCCUCGUCACUGUCAUCAGUCUGAGAUGAUUCUGGGAGAGGAAAAGAGAGGAAGCAAAGAGGGAACAAAGGAAGGAAGGUCUCUCUGUUUCUCAGCGACCUCCUCCAGUUGUCUUUGGAUGGCCUGAGCGAUGCAAAAGUGGGACAUUAUGUGACACACGAUGAAAGGAGAUGAUUAUUUCUGCCUCCACCAUGCAUGUGAUCUCUCUCUCUCUCUCUCUCUCUCUCUCUCUCUCUCUCUCUCUCUCUCUCUUACUCUGGAUAUUCCAGAGAACACAAGGUCAACUAUUCUUAUAGGCCCCAUUACUUUGGUAGAAAGUAAUUACAAUAAAAGAGUAACAUACAA